Molecule: long non-coding RNA, 574 nt
Organism: Chinchilla lanigera (long-tailed chinchilla)
Lineage: Eukaryota; Metazoa; Chordata; Mammalia; Rodentia; Chinchillidae
Exons: 3
Source: RefSeq, a predicted model, not a curated record
UUCGCCGCCGCCGCUGCCGCGCGUGCGCACCGCCCGCCGCCCCUCGGGAGGGGAGGGCAGCGGGGGAGGGCGACUGAAGAGGACGUCACGAGCGGCCGCCAUGUUGACUGAGGGCAGAGCGACGGCUCGGAAGGCCUGCGCGGCGUUUUCUGAUGAGGUCACGGCGGUUUCAAGUUAUCUGGUGUAUGAAGAUUUCUGAUUUUGAUACGCAUAAGGGAAUUUUUCUUUCCUCUUUACUUAUAUUAUUUUUUUCGUGGUUUUUUUUUUUUUGAAACAAGACCUCACUCCGCGGCAAAAACUGGCCUUAAACUCACUGCACGCCAGCCUCCAACUCCUGGCUAUCCUGCGCGUGCCAACGUUCCAAGAUAACGGUAAUAGGAAAAGAAGUGGUAGAGUAUGUGCCGGUGUCCUGGGUCCUACCCCGUACUACCACCACCACCAAGAAGAAAAGAAAGUAAAUAUAUGGAGAAUUGAAAAGCAAAAAAAAGUACCUCGUUCUCGGGACCUGUCACCCCUGGACAGAAACGGAAUCUACAUGCGACACAUUCCCUCAAUAAAUAUACUCUGCUCUUCA